Molecule: long non-coding RNA, 611 nt
Organism: Herpailurus yagouaroundi (jaguarundi)
Lineage: Eukaryota; Metazoa; Chordata; Mammalia; Carnivora; Felidae
Exons: 3
Source: RefSeq, a predicted model, not a curated record
ACAUACACUGAGUGUGGCUCCUGUGAGAGUGGAGCUCCUCCGAGGACCCCUGAUCCUCAUUGCUCAGGAGCCUGGAGCUGGGCUGAGAGUAGAAAUGAGUUGGUUUCACUUUGCUGGAGAGAAGCAGAAGCGGGAUAAGCUGGUUGGAGCCCACUGCCUGGAGCCGAGCUCGUCCUCUGUUCGUGUGGGGAUAGAGCUCCAUCCAGCUCCACAGACUCCGGAUUAUAUAGUUCCACUGGCCCACCCGGAACUUCAGAAUGUGACCUUAUUUGGAAGUAGGGUCUUUGCCUAUGUGUUUAAGUUAAGGCUCUGGAGAUGAGAUCAUCCUGGAUUUAGGGUGAGCCCUAAAUCCAACAACUAGUCAGAAGAGGAGACACGGAGGGAUGCGGGAAGACACGGGGAGAAAGCCGUGUGAAGACGGAGCCAGAAACCCGAGGGGUGCGGCCUCAAGUCAAGGAACCCCAAGGAUUGCCAGGAGCCACCAGAAGCUGGAAGAGGCACGAUCCUCCCCUCUGGGAGCCUUUAGAGGAAGUAUAGCCCUGCCAACACCUUGAUUUUCAGACAUGUAGCCUCCAGAACUGGAGGGAAUAAAUUUCUGUUGUUCUAAGCCA